Molecule: transfer RNA, 72 nt
Filed under: Colletotrichum graminicola M1.001
Lineage: Eukaryota; Fungi; Ascomycota; Sordariomycetes; Glomerellales; Glomerellaceae
Description: tRNA-Gln (TTG) (tRNA-Gln-TTG-1-1)
Rfam family: tRNA
About the family: Transfer RNA (tRNA) molecules are approximately 80 nucleotides in length. Their secondary structure includes four short double-helical elements and three loops (D, anti-codon, and T loops).
Source: RNAcentral
GGUUGUAUAGUGUAGUGGUUAUCACUCCAGAUUUUGAUUCUGGUAACCCCGGUUCGAACCCGGGUACGACCU